GAUGAAGAACGUAGCGAAAUGCGAUAAGUAGUGUGAAUUGCAGAAUUCAGUGAAUCAUCGAAUCUUUGAACGCACAUUGCGCCCCUUGGUAUUCCGAGGGGCAUGCCUGUUCGAGCGUCAUUUAAACCAAUCUAGCUUGCUAGGUCUUGGGCUUUCGCCUCUGGGCGGGCCUCAAAAUCAGUGGCGGUGCUGCCGGGCUUUAAGCGUAGUAAUCUUUCUCGCUAUAGGGUCCUGGUAGAGGCUUGCCAACAACUAUAAAUCUUUCAAAGGUUGACCUCGGAUCAGGUAGGGAUACCCGCUGAACUUAAGCAUAUCAAUAAGCGGAGGA
Molecule: unclassified non-coding RNA, 328 nt
Filed under: soil metagenome
Description: partial contains 5.8S ribosomal RNA, internal transcribed spacer 2, and large subunit ribosomal RNA
Rfam family: 5.8S ribosomal RNA (bases 1-120)
Source: RNAcentral